This 405-nucleotide long non-coding RNA is filed under the name Mytilus galloprovincialis (Mediterranean mussel). Lineage: Eukaryota; Metazoa; Mollusca; Bivalvia; Mytilida; Mytilidae. The record is from RNAcentral.
UCUGACUUCAGACUCGGACUUCUCUUGAACUGAAUUUUAAUGUGCGUAUUGUUAUGCGUUUACUUUUCUACAUUGGUUAGAGGUAUAGGGGGAGGGUUGAGAUCUCACAAAAAUGUUGAACCCCGCCGCAUUUUUGCGCCUGUCCCAAGUCAGGAGUCUCUGGCCUUUGUUAGUCUUGUAUUAUUUUAAUUUUAGUUUCUUGUGUACAAUUUGGAAAUUAGUAUGGCGUUCAUAAUCACUGGACUAGUAUAUAUUUGUUUAGGGGCCAGCUGAAGGACGCCUCCGGGUGCGGGAAUUUCUCGCUACAUUAAAGGCCUGUUGGUGACCCUCUGCUGUUGUUUUUUAUUUGGUCGGGUUGUUGUCUCUUUGACACAUUCCCCAUUUCCAUUCUCAAUUUUAUGUUUA